Molecule: ribosomal RNA, 122 nt
Filed under: uncultured bacterium
Lineage: Bacteria
Description: partial 16S ribosomal RNA
Rfam family: Bacterial small subunit ribosomal RNA
Source: RNAcentral
CUUGUACACACCGCCCGUCACACCAUGGGAGUGGGUUCCACCAGAAGUAGUUAGCCUAACCGCAAGGAGGGCGAUUACCACGGUGAGGUUCAUGACUGGGGUGAAGUCGUAAACAAGGUACC